RNAcentral lists this ribosomal RNA (357 nucleotides) under Macrovipera lebetinus (Levantine viper). RNAcentral's name for it is "partial 12S ribosomal RNA". The record is from RNAcentral. Lineage: Eukaryota; Metazoa; Chordata; Lepidosauria; Squamata; Viperidae.
UACGAGUUGUAACUUAAACUUAAAAGACUUGACGGUGCUUCAUCCAACCUAGAGGAGCCUGUCCAUAACCGAUAACCCACGUUUAACCCCACCCCCUCUUGCCAACAGUCUAUAUACCGCCGUCACAAGCUUACCUUGUAAAAGAAACAAAGUAGGCCAAAAAGCUCUACGCUAACACGACAGGUCGAGGUGUAACCAAUGAAGGGGCAAAGAUGGGCUACAUUCUCUUAUCAGAGAAUACGAACAACACUAUGAACAUAGUGAUAGAAGGAGGAUUUAGUAGUAAGAUAGGAAUAAAACACCCAACUGAACAUAACGCAAUGAAGUGCGUACACACCGCCCGUCAUCCCUGCCUGU